Molecule: ribosomal RNA, 492 nt
Filed under: uncultured bacterium
Lineage: Bacteria
Description: partial 16S ribosomal RNA
Rfam family: Bacterial small subunit ribosomal RNA
Source: RNAcentral
AGUGAACGCUGGCGGUAGGCCUAACACAUGCAAGUCGAACGGCAGCACAGUAAGAGCUUGCUCUUACGGGUGGCGAGUGGCGGACGGGUGAGGAAUACAUCGGAAUCUACUUUUUCGUGGGGGAUAACGUAGGGAAACUUACGCUAAUACCGCAUACGACCUACGGGUGAAAGCAGGGGAUCUUCGGACCUUGCGCGAUUGAAUGAGCCGAUGUCGGAUUAGCUAGUUGGCGGGGUAAAGGCCCACCAAGGCGACGAUCCGUAGCUGGUCUGAGAGGAUGAUAGGCCACACUGGAACUGGGACACGGUCCAGACUCCUACGGGAGGCAGCAGUGGGGAAUAUUGGACAAUGGGCGCAAGCCUGAUCCAGCCAUACCGCGUGGGUGAAGAAGGCCUUCGGGUUGUAAAGCCCUUUUGUUGGGAAAGAAAAGCAGCAGGUUAAUACCCCGCUGUUCUGACGGUACCCAAAGAAUAAGCACCGGCUAACUUCGUG